This 7868-nucleotide unclassified non-coding RNA is filed under the name Leishmania donovani. Its description in RNAcentral is "gene:LdHU3.11.0500(CDS-product:tubulin-tyrsoine_l igase-like_protein)". The record is from RNAcentral. Lineage: Eukaryota; Euglenozoa; Kinetoplastea; Trypanosomatida; Trypanosomatidae.
CGAAGUGUUGCGACGUCUCUCUCUCUCGUUUUCGCUUUGUAUUUUUUAUGGUUUUUUUUUUCGGUUUUUUCUUGUUUUGCGUUUUGUGUUGCUUGGUCAUUCCCCAUUUUGUUGUGGUUUGUCCCACGCGCGCUCUUCGCCUCCCUUCCGCGGCGUGUUGAUCGGCUAACGCCGUCGCCGUGACGCCGCCGUCGCACGCACACGCACACACACACGCGCACGCGCACACGUAUAAGGGAAGAAACGCUUAACUUGUUCUUUGUGGGCGCUGCCUUUUUGAUUUUGCUUUAUAUGUUGUGGUUGCUAGUGCUCGCGUUCUGUCUUGUGGCGACUUUUUGUGUUUGUUGUGAAGACGCUCCUUGCUUGAUCACACGCUCCCCUCCCUCGUCCCUCUCGCUGGCUCCCUCUCUUUAUCCCCCGACGUCCGCGCGUGUUCGCCAGUGACGUCGUCUUCUAGGCACCCCUAAUCUUCGCCUUGGUUGUGGGCGAUUCAUUUUCGCUUUCCUCCUCUUCGUGUGCGUGCGUGGGUCCGCCUUCCACACGCGGUACACAAAGGCACUCGCACACGACGGAGCCGUGUACCCAAGCGCACACAUACUCGCACGCAAGGCAGGCCCCUCCCCCUCUCUCUGUACCAUCACUCUCUUUCUCCGUCCCACGAACCUGGACAUAAACACACACACGUGUGCACCAUCAGCUCCCAGCCCCCGAGCCCUCGGUCAGUGCCUCGUCCCUGUUCCCUUCACCUUCUCCUGCUGUGUGUCGCUGUAUCACCAGCAAGAAGAGGGCGAGCGGGUGGCAGAGUAGUAAGUAAAGUAGGCGGAGGCGCAGCGCUUCAACGACGGCCGCAUUCUCCCCACACCCUCCUCCCUCUUUCUCCUCUUCUUUGUAGUGCAUCCAAAGCAGACCAUACAGUGUCGUCUAUCCCAGCCCCAUCUGCGCACGCACGUAGGCCCUCGUACGGAAGCCGGCACAACACUCCCUCUGCCUUUCUUUUUUUUCUCGUCUCCCUCUCUCCCCCUUCUCCCGCCUCUCUCCCGCCUCCAACCUUUGUACGCACGCUCUCUCCUCUUGUCUUGCGAGUGUCUUCCUGUGUUUAGCGUAUCUUUUUUUUUUGGUUGUGGCGGUGGUGUCUACUGUUCGCCUUCCUCAACGCUCCUGUUCGCGUGUUUAGCUGCUGCUGCUGCUGCUGUUGCUUCCCGACUCGCACGCGCUAUCCCGCUCUCCGUCGGACUCUCCCUCUUUUCUUCUUCCACACACACACACAUAUAUAUACAGCUCUCCCUUCUUCGUUUCACGUCCCUCUUUUCGACGGAUUAGAUCUUAGACUCGAACGCACCGUCACGACAACUCCAGCCGCCGCCGCCGCUGCCCUCCUCCCUCUCAUAUCUCUCUCCCUCCCCUUCCUUCCCCUCCCCCGACCCUCGUGGGCCACACACGCGCAGACACACAGAGAGAGAAACCCUCCAACGUCUGCCGAAUCGGAUAUAAGGAAGAAAAGAAAGCAGCAGAGGAGCACACGUGUACGCGGCACGUCCGCUCCUGGUUGUCGUGGUUGUGGAGUCGUCUUCGCGUAGGCAGACGUGCACACGGGCAAAGGCAAACAUCCAGGCACUACCGCCGCGCUCGCUCGCUCCCUCUCGUGCGUCUCUCUCCUCUUUCGUUGGCAGAGCGCCACCAUCCCCCAUCACCCCUUCCCCCGAAAACAAAGAGGCCAGCAGGGCAGCGACAGAAGGCGGAGAGGGGCACGCACACACGCACGCCCACACACACACAACGCACGGGCAGAAAGAAGAACCGCGCGCGUCACAUUUUGUUUUUUUUUGUUUGUCUUGAUUGUUUCUGAGAGGCUCGCCUCGAGCGUCCCAUCAAGCGUGCUCCUCCUCAGAAAACAAUACGUCUGUCUGUGUUCUGUUCGCCGCGCACCCGCCUGCAGGCUCCGCCAGUACGUAUACCGCUCACCUGCUGCCUCCUCCCUCCUCCUUCUCCUCCUCCUCCUCUGACAUCUCUAUCUUUCUCGGUUUUUGUGUGCGCGCGCGCGUUUUCUUUAAAAGGAAACAAAAUCAUUUUUGUAUGCGCACACGGAAGUGCAACGCGUUGUUGUUGCUCUUGUUGUCAUCAUUGUGGUACACACACACACACCUCUUCAUCCCCCUCCCCCUCCCUUCUCUUGCUUGCUUCCUCUCCUUCAUUUUUUUGUUUGUUGUUUUUACUCGUAGUGCGUCACUUCUUCCUCCGAUCCCACCCACCCACUCCACCUCCUCCUUCCGAUUUUCUCGACGCUCUUUGGACUGAGUAGACUCUCUCCCUCUCUCUUACCCCCCCUCCUUCACUUUCAACAGCUCCUCACCGCUGCCAAUCAUGACGUCUGUUGCAGAAUCCGUGGCACCAGGGAGUGCACUCGCGGCACUCGACCUCGACCCCGACCUCGGGUCCGCAGCAGUGGCGACGGCGACGGAAGACGCACCUGCUACGGAGGCAGCUCCACCACCAGCACCUGCUACGGUUCGGAUUCACAUCCCAUAUCAAGUCGAGUCCGGUGCCCCGCACCAUUCCGACGUCUACCCGGCCUCAGCCGCAAAGACAAACGGCCACAGCAACGGGAGGUCGUCUGCAGGCGCGGCCGCUGCGACUUCAAGCGGAAAGAACGCCAGCAAUGGCGCCGCUGCGGCAUCCAAAGGCGCUUCGCCGUGGAAACCGCAGGGUCGAUCGUCCCCGGCUUCGCGACGCGUGGCCACUGAAUUGCAGGCCGCCCAUAAGCACUUCUCUGCCCCCUCACCCGCUACCCGAACUCUGUCGGCGCAGCUGGAGUCGCGCGUGCACUGGACGGCAGCUCCGGUGGAAAAGCCAAAGCUGUCGCGCCGGGUGCUCGUGGGUGCCGCAGGAGAUCUAACGGGCAACGGCAGCGCUAUGAAGAGCAGCUGUCCUCCGCGCCAGCGCCGCACCCGCUUUCUUGACCCCUCGACAUCUGCGGACGGUGCUGCAGAGACCACCAUGACCGCGCCUCAACGGCAGCGCAUGCAGCGGACGUCGCCAGCCCACCCGCCUGCUGCCAACGGUGCCUCCACCGUCGCUGGGCACGCGGCGUGGUAUAUGCACUCGAUCCCAAAGCACAUCCAGGCCAUCCACACCUCUCCGCGGGCCCCCGCUACGGCAGAAAGCGCCUCCAACCAGCCUCAUCAGCGCCACAGCGUGGUUGGUGCUGAAGCAGCAUCCGCCGCAUCCAAGAGCGCUGCGCUUGAACCAGUGCCUGUCUCCGCGUCCGCGUCUGCGUCUGCGACGGACGCGAGCUUCGAGCACUUGGCAUCUUCUCCCUCCCAUUCGUCCAUCACCAUCACCGUGGGUAGUCCACAGUCGCAACGCCCUGACGUCGCCCCCGCCGAGCAGUCAAAGGUGAGGGGCGACGGAGGCAACGGCGUUUCACGCGAAGUGGUCGAGGUCGCCACACCCUCGGUGCUGAUCCCAGCUUUCAAAACCGCCGACACAGCGGAAAACGCGAAGGCGUCGGCCGCCUCUGACGUGCUGCAGAAGGAAGCGAUCAUGACCGCCGAGAUACACCGCGACAAGCACAUCGUUAUCUCCCGCCCCUCUUCCAUCAUGCACGUGGCCCGCAUGACUGACCUAACGCGUCCGUCAGACGCGUACAAGGUGGCGCUCCACUCGUCACGCCCGUCCAACGCACUCGCCCGCCGCUCCCGCCAGCCGCGCAAGGUGCUGAACGUGUGCCUCACAAAGUACCCUCUCAUCCGUAAGAUUGCGGAAGAGAUGGGCUUCGAGAUGGAGACAACGGAAGACGAGCUGAACGAGUACAAGUUCAACCUCUGCUGGAGCGAUACAGUGCUGUCCCUCAUGAGGCUCGUGCGGCUGAGAAACUGGCAACGCACCAACCACUUCCCAUCCAUGUAUCUGCUCUGCCGCAAGGGGCACCUGAGCACGACGCUGGGGAAGAUGCGCCGCAAGCUGCCCUCGCACUUCGCCUACUACCCGCGCACGUGGUCGAUGCGGAGCGAGCGGAUGCAGUUCACGCAGUACAUGACAGCCGUCCGUCAGCGUCGCAUCCUCAAGUACUUCAUCUUGAAGCCGAACUCUGGCUGCCAGGGCCGCGGCAUCGUCGUGGCGCGCGAUCCGCUGACGGCGCUGGACGAGCACAUCCUCGACAACUACAUUGUGCAGGAGUACGUGCACCGCCCCCUGCUGCUGGAAGGCAAGAAGUUCGAUCUCCGUGUGUACGUGCUGCUCACCUCGAUUCGUCAUCCGUCCAUCUUUCUCUUCAACGACGGUCUCGUGCGCAUCUGCACAGAGCCGUAUGAGACCCCGAACGAGGAGAACGUGAAGCAAGCCUGCAAACACCUCACAAACUACGCCGUGAACAAGAAGAGCUCGGAAUUCGUCUUCAACACGAAUGUCGAGCACAUGGACGUCGGCAACAAGCGCAACUUCGGCUUCCUCAACCGCUGGCUCGCCGAGGGCGGCCACUCGCCGGACGUCUUCUGGAACGAGGUCGGCUUUAUCGUCGUCAAGACAAUCCUCGCGGCGCAGCCGAUCAUUGCCAAGGUGUACGACUCGUGCUUUCCCACCGGCUUCAACGAGGGCUACUGCUGCUUCGAGGUACUCGGCUUCGACAUCCUGAUCGACAAUAAGAUGAAGCCGUGGCUCAUGGAGGUCAAUCACACCCCGUCCUUCGCCACCGAGACACCGCUGGAUUACGAAAUCAAGAGCAAGCUGAUCUCGGAGGUAUGGAGCAUCAUCGACUGUAAGGCCACCGAUUACGAGAGGGACCGGCAGCGGGAGCGCGACGAGUUCGCGAAGCGCAAUAUGCCACCGUGGGCAAGCAACCACCCGCUCUACGGGAGCCAGCUCAAGAAGAAUACCUCGCGCGGCGCUGGCGCCGACAACUCGGACUCACCCGACCACAGCCCCGCGGCAACGGGCCGCGCGAACGCAGAGGAGGAGAUACCGCCCUACGUGCAUGCCCGCCGCGACUUUGAGGACACCAAGCUGAAGAAUUUCAAGCGCAUCUAUCCGUCUCCCAACUCAGAUGUGCAGCUCGUGUAUGACACGAUCCAGAGCCUGGCCACACUGGAGUCCGCUAAUAGCCGCCUCUACUACAACAGCACCGUCGCCGCGCCGGUGCCGGUGCCGAUGUCGUCGCCGCCGCCGUCGCCGGGCGUCCGCACGAGUUCCGCGCUGCCCUCCCGCGUUCGACCACCGUUGCUGGGUCCACUGCUGACAACCUCGCGUAACGGCAGCUCUAACGGUAGCCCCAGCACGGUCCUGCCGCCUCGCACGCCGGCCACAUUGAUGACGCCAAACACCACCUCUGCCGCGCAGGACUCUGGUGCCGCUGACACAACAACGCCCAUAGGCACAAUCCCUGCCGCACUCCUCGCCACCUCCGGCCAAACCGUCACAAGUCCCUCUGUUGCCGCGAACAACGCGUCGGCGCCCGCCGCCCCUUAUGUCGCGCCAACUCCCUUGACCGGUCGCGAGGGCCAGCCUGCCCCCGCCACUAUCUUCAAGCUAAUGGAGAAAGACAUACUGCGUCACCGUCGUCGCUCAUCGGACGCUCGCAGCGGUGCGGCGGCGCUGUCACACACGUCCACCACCCGCAGCAGCACCACACCGUCAGAGAGCGGCGGGACAGCGACCUCCACGCCGGCGGCCGCUAAGUCGCCUCAUCCGCUGCGCGUGCACACGCCGCAGCUCUCGCCCACCCACGUUAGAAAGAACUCGUUCGCCGAAAAGACGUCGUCCUCACCGCAGAAGGCGAGCGUCAAGGCAACAGCGGCAGAUGGCACGGCAGCGAACAGGGCGAAGCCGCGCGUUGCUGAGGUGCAUCGCCUCGUCACCGGGAGCUCACCCACAAUUAUAGCCAUGACAAUCAACGCUAUCCCGGCGAGCCCCUCGGCAAACGAUGGCACGCCGGCCUCGAACGCAACUGCGAUGCCGGCCAGCGAGGCCCUGCAGAUGAAGCCAAUGGAGACGGACAAGCCGGACGAUGAGGUGGCGUCGCUGUCUUGCACCGUUGCACCGCAUCCCGCGGCCAACGGUCCCAUCCAUAUCUCCAGCCGUCCUACCCCACGACAGAAGUUGCGGACGCCUUCACCGGUGACAACGCCGAACGGGGCUGGGCGACCGCGCGCGAACAGCCACGAGCUUUCUUCCAUGACGUGCAAGUCCGUCUCGCUGAGCGACAGCAUGCGUGACCUUGACCUUAGCGGCGAGGCGCACUCUGGCCGGAGGUCGCAAGACUGCGAGAUGCACUCUAUACUUCCGCACCAAGAGCCGACCGAGGAAGAGCUGGCGCGGCUGGCAACGCUGCAGGCGAUGCUGGACUACGAGGCCGCCGCCGACCCGCAGCCGGACGAUGACGAUGAUGACUACAACCUGACUGAGUGAGAGAGCGACAGAGGGCGUCUCUCCGUCUGCGUUCGUGCGCGUGCCCAGGCGAUCAUCACUGCAGGAUGAGUGACGAGGUUUAUUGGGAAAGCUUAACGGUGAUGCACACGCUCUCAGCAGAGUGCGUGUUCUUCUCUUUACGUCACGCGUGCUGCUGCCUAUUGUUGUGCUUCCGUAACUCUUUGCGUGGGCGUAUGCUGGUGCGGCGGUUCGAGUCGCAGCGAGCGACGCAGUAUCACUACGUGAGAAACCAGAGAGGAAGCAGGUAGUGCAGCACAGCGGGCAUAUCUGUGUGUACGGUGCUGCUGCUCCCUCUUUCUCCCGUCCUCGAUCACCACCACCCUUCCGCGCACAAACUUCUUUGUAUCAUUUAUUUUCGUUGUUCGCAGGAACGUGUCUGUCUUGCGUCUCUCUCUCUCGCCCCCGCCUCAGCUGCGGGAAACCCUGCACACACACACAUACACGCAGGGGAAAUUUGUGUGUUUAACAAUAACGGAUGGGCAGCGCUGCCACUUCUCCGCGUCGUUAACGUUCGUUCUCCCUCCACCACCUUUUUUUUUUUGCAUGGACAAGUCGCCUGUGCGCGCUUCUUUCUGUUGUUGGUCUCAUUUUCUUCUUUUGCCCUCCCUCCCCCUCACCCCUCAUUGUGUAGGUGUGUGUGUGUAUGUGUAGGUGGGUGGGUGGGUGGGUGCGGCGUGCGCGCUGGUGCGUCCUUUUUCUAUCUCGUAAUGUGUGCUUUCCUAUGCUAACUGCCUGUGUGCUUAUGUGUUUGUGUUGCCUUGUUUGGGGGAACCCAGUGGCCUGUGUGGCCCACGCACCUCCCCCACCUCGCCCCACCCCCGGCAUCGUGAACGAUAGCUGCCAGGAUAGUGGAAGUCCGGUGAUGAUUUCAGUGGUGAGGCGGACGAGCUCCAGGACUCUGCCGCUAUGUCGUUCAUGUCUCUGUGUGAUAUGAGGCUUCUUAUGUGGUUGUUGCUCUUUGUGGCUGUGAUGGGUGUGCGUGUGUGUGGACGGCACUGUGUCGCUCUACGUCCAUCUACUCCCAUCCACCUCACGGACAACGCCGAAGUGCGCUUCCAUGUGAGUGAGGGUGCGGUGGGGUGGAGAGGGGCCUACUGCCGUAGGUGUACAGUGGCGUGGCGAAGCUCCGAUGGCAGCCGCUGGCCCGCACCCCUCAUGAAAGCCGUGCCCGCCCAAGAACUCACGCAUGUGUAACGGGUACUUUUUUGCUGGCACGUGCACGUACGGGCACGCCUCCUCCCUCUUCGCCUUCCGCCUGCAGCUCUCUCGCUCCCUCUCUCGGUUUCGUGCUUUCCAUGCGCACACGACAAGCACGCUGUUCCCGUCAUUGCCGUCCUUUGUCAUGGCGUGUCGUGGUGGUGGUUUUGACGGCCUCGGCGGCGUCGGUGUCGCCCGUUGUGUGAUGCCUCUUUUAUGACACUGAUUUCCUUCUGUAAGCUAAACAGACG